This 459-nucleotide ribosomal RNA is filed under the name uncultured bacterium. RNAcentral's name for it is "partial 16S ribosomal RNA". It matches the Rfam family "Bacterial small subunit ribosomal RNA", at positions 338 to 795 of the family's 1533-position model. The record is from RNAcentral.
CCUACGGGAGGCAGCAGUGAGGAAUAUUGGUCAAUGGCCGAGAGGCUGAACCAGCCAAGUCGCGUGAGGGAAGAAUGUUCUAUGGUUUGUAAACCCCUUUUGUCAGGGAGCAAAGUCACCUACGUGUGGGUGUUGGAGAGUACCUGAAGAAACAGCAUCGCCUAACUCGGUGCCAGCAGCCGCGGUAAUACGGAGGAUGCGAGCGUUAUCCGGAGUUAUUGGGUUUAACGGGUGCGUAGGGGGGUUAUAAAGUUAGCGGUAAAAUCGUGGUGCUAAACUCCAUCCAGCCGUUGAAACUGAUGAUCUUGAGUAGGCGAGAGGUAGGUGGAAUGCGUGGUGUAGCGGUAAAAUGCAUAGAUAUCACGAAGAACACCGAUUGCGAAGGCGGCAUACCGGCGCCCGACUGACGCUGAAGCACGAAAGCGUGGGUAGCGAACAGGAUUAGAUACCCGUGUAGUC